Camellia sinensis is the source of this 1173-nucleotide non-coding RNA. The record is from RefSeq and is a predicted model, not a curated record. NCBI's taxonomy places the organism in Eukaryota, Viridiplantae, Streptophyta, Magnoliopsida, Ericales, Theaceae.
CACCCUCUCCGAAAAGGGAGGGCGCGCGGAGAGAGUUUGAGCGGUCUACAGCUUGCCUAUAGGUGUGGUUCUUUGAGUAUUUCCAAAGGUGAGUCCUGGGGCGCAAGGUGUCUCUUCGGAUGUCUUUUCUCAGGCUGCCCAAUAUCGGAGAAGGCAUAAGGAUAGUCAACAUCCUCCACUGCAUUCUACUGUUGCUGAGUAUCGAUAGAUGCUCGAUACCAUUACUCAUAACCAUAUCAUGUGGUGCCCGUGGGCAGUUGUGCCCCCUACUAGUGAGGCUUGGUAUCCAACCAUCCAGGAAGCCACCCGAUAGCGGCUCUUACUAGAGGGAUUGUUAUGUAGCGUCUGGUACUUGGCCGAGCAGGUCUGCUACUAAUCUUUGGGCAUGGCCCAGCCCAGGAUUCCAGCGUGUCCUCCUACUAGCAUAAGGGCAGGAGAUACGUUCAUUGAGGAGGAGCUUCUCUUUGUCUAAGGUGGCACCGCUGCUGAGGGAUUGCUAAUAGACGACGACUAUAUGGAGUAUGUUCGGUCCUAUCUAGGAGGACGAUUGAUGGGAGUCGCAAAGGACCUUGCCUUCUUUCAUGCUGUCCGAGGUCAAGGACGGGGUCAGAUUCUGGUCCUAGGCCUAGAUGUAGUGCUGUUUGGGGGUAUUGGUGUUGUUGCAGUAGUGGAAGGUUUGCCGGUGAUAUUGUCGUAUCAGUGAUGGUGCGACAUGGCAUAGUGACAAUGCCCAUCUCAGAGCCUACCAUAGUGCCCUAUCAUGUCCUUACCAGAGUUCCUCGUGCCAUGUGGGGGAUUGCUAUAGGACGAUGGCAAGCAUAGUAGUGCUGAUCCAGGAGUUUGCCACGGGCGUUCGGUUGAGGAUGUUGGCCUCUCCGGCCAGGCAGGAGGUGCCUCUGCUGCGGAAGGGAGUGAUUCUGAUGAGACUUUGAGCCCGGCGGUAAUGAUGAUGAUGAUGGAGAGGAGGGUCCAUCUUAGGGUGCUUCGAAGCACCCUCGAGGAGGUUGACUGGGUUCAUGAACCUUAGCCUUAGGAUUCUUUUGCUUUUCACUUUGUGUAUGCUAUUUUUCCUUUUUUUAAAAACAUUGUAUAUGAUGCCAUUGGGGGAUGCCCCAUAUUUUGUAAAAACUUUUGUAUAGUUUCAAAAUCUACAGUGUAUGCAGUGAAUUCUGA